AUUGAACGCUGGCGGCAUGCUUUACACAUGCAAGUCGAACGGCAGCGCGGGCUUCGGCCUGGCGGCGAGUGGCGAACGGGUGAGUAAUGCAUCGGAACGUGCCCAGUAGUGGGGGAUAGCCCGGCGAAAGCCGGAUUAAUACCGCAUACGACCUGAGGGUGAAAGCGGGGGACCGAAAGGCCUCGCGCUAUUGGAGCGGCCGAUGUCGGAUUAGCUAGUUGGUGGGGUAAAGGCUUACCAAGGCGACGAUCCGUAGCUGGUGUGAGAGGACGACCAGCCACACUGGGACUGAGACACGGCCCAGACUCCUACGGGAGGCAGCAGUGGGGAAUUUUGGACAAUGGGGGCAACCCUGAUCCAGCCAUGCCGCGUGCGGGAAGAAGGCCUUCGGGUUGUAAACCGCUUUUGUUCGGGAAGAAAUCCUCUGGGCUAAUACCCCGGGGGGAUGACGGUACCGGAAGAAUAAGCACCGGCUAACUACGUG
Molecule: ribosomal RNA, 484 nt
Filed under: uncultured bacterium
Lineage: Bacteria
Description: partial 16S ribosomal RNA
Rfam family: Bacterial small subunit ribosomal RNA
Source: RNAcentral